CUAUGCGCCUUGCCAGCCCGCUCAGGUGUGCCAGCCGCCGCGGUAAUACGUAGGUGGCAAGCGUUAUCCGGAUUUACUGGGUGUAAAGGGCGUGUAGGCGGGGAGGCAAGUCAGAUGUGAAAACCACGGGCUCAACCUGUGGCCUGCAUUUGAAACUGUUGGUCUUGAGUAUCGGAGAGGCAGGCGGAAUUCCUAGUGUAGCGGUGAAAUGCGUAGAUAUUAGGAGGAACACCAGUGGCGAAGGCGGCCUGCUGGACGACAACUGACGGUGAGGCGCGAAAGCGUGGGGAGCAAACAGG
RNAcentral lists this ribosomal RNA (299 nucleotides) under uncultured bacterium. Its description in RNAcentral is "partial 16S ribosomal RNA". It matches the Rfam family "Bacterial small subunit ribosomal RNA", at positions 475 to 776 of the family's 1533-position model. The record is from RNAcentral.